UAAUACGUAGGGCGCAAGCGUUGUCCGGAUUCACUGGGUGUAAAGGGUGCGCAGGCGGGACGACAAGUCAGGGGUGAAAUCUCACGGCUCAACCGUGAAACUGCCUUUGAUACUGUUGUUCUUGAGUUAGGGAGAGGUUGAUGGAAUUCCAGGUGUAGCGGUGAAAUGCGUAGAUAUCUGGAAGAACACCGGUGGCGAAGGCGGUCAACUGGCCCUCAACUGACGCUGAGGCACGAAAGCGUGGGGAUCAAACAGGAUUAGAUACCCUGGUAGUCCACGCCCUAAACGAUGAAUACUUGGUGUUGGUCUUUUUUGAUCAGUGCCGAAGGAAACCUGAUAAGUAUUCCACCUGGGGAGUACGCUCGCAAGGGUG
RNAcentral lists this ribosomal RNA (373 nucleotides) under uncultured bacterium. RNAcentral's name for it is "bacterial SSU rRNA". It matches the Rfam family "Bacterial small subunit ribosomal RNA", at positions 521 to 896 of the family's 1533-position model. The record is from RNAcentral.